Molecule: RNA transcript, 2242 nt
Organism: Nicotiana attenuata
Lineage: Eukaryota; Viridiplantae; Streptophyta; Magnoliopsida; Solanales; Solanaceae
Exons: 5
Source: RefSeq, a predicted model, not a curated record
UCAUAUAGAAAUCUAAACCACAAUACACAUUUUAAAAUCAUGUCCUUCCUUUUGUCCUUCUACAUGGUUUUGUAUUUAUAGCAAGCUGUACAUAGGCUAAAAAACUUAUCAAUGGCUCAACAUGAAACUUCUUCAUCUUCUUGGUUUAUUCUUCUUUCUCUUCUUGCAAUCAAAUUAAUGUCUUUUUCUGGAGUUUCUUCUUUAAAUCUUGAUGAAAAUGACUACAUCUCGGCCGUCGGCGAUCCGGGGAUGAGAAGGGAUGGGCUAAGAGUUGCAAUAGAAGCAUGGAAUCAAUGCAAUGAAGUUGGAGAAGAAGUAGCUAAAAUGGGCAGUCCAAGAGCUGCUGAUUGCUUUGAUGUCUAUAAAGCUUCUCCUAAAUCAAAAGGGGCAAAUAAUUGUUCACUUUGCAAUGCAAUACCAUACAUGUUGGUACACAGAGUGACAGAGGAAGAAAACAGGUUAGGAAUAGGAAAACCUUUUCUUGGAUUGGAGAAAAAGGCAAUUCUUGAUAUUGACCAAUAUGCAGCACAAAAAGAACUCUAUUUGGGAUCAAAAUGUCAAGUUGAAGACAAACCAAAACCAUGGCAAUUUUGGAUGAUCAUGCUUAAAAAUGGAAAUAUGGAUACCUAUGCUGCAAAAUGUCCGAAAAACGGUCACAAAAUAGGUCCAUAUGGUCCUGAUAAUAGAUUUCCAUGUUUUGGCAAAGGAUGUAUGAAUCAGCCAUUGAUUUUUCACAAUUAUACAACAUUACAAGGUCAUAAUAGGACUACACUUAAAGGAAGUUUUUAUGGAACAUGGGAUUUGAGUAGUAGAUUGAGUAAAACAAGAGAAGAGAAUAGUUCUUUCUAUUCUGUUAAAUGGCAGAAAGAAUUAGGAAAAGAUAGUUGGAUUUUUCAGCAUGUGUUGAGGACAUCAACUAAGUAUCCUUGGCUUAUGCUUUACCUAAGAUCAGAUGCUACAUUUGGUUUUUCUGGUGGAUAUCAUUAUCCAACUAGGGGCAUGUCAAAAAUUAUACCAGAAUCACCAAAUUUUAAGGUGAGAUUCACAUUGAAUGUGAUUAGGGGAGGAGGUCCAAGCAGCCAAUUUUACUUAAUGGACAUGGGGAGUUGUUGGAAGAACAAUGGAAAGCCAUGUGAUGGCAAUGUAACAUCCGACGUUACGCGAUAUAGCGAGAUGAUCCUGAAUCCAGAAACACCAUCUUGGUGCAAACCAGAUAGCCCAAAAUUAUGUCCACCAUAUCACAUUUUCCCUAAUGGAACAAGAAUUCAUCGAAACGAUACGACUCGUUUUCCCUAUGAGGCUUAUCAUAUGUAUUGUGCACCUGGAAAUGGUGAACAUAUUGAACAACCUAGUGUUCAUUGUGAUCCUUAUAGUAAUCCUCAGCCUCAAGAAAUUCUGCAGAUUUUGCCACAUCCUGUUUGGGGAGAUUAUGGUUAUCCUACUAGGAAAGGAGAUGGUUGGAUUGGAGAUCCAAGAACAUGGGAACUUGAUGUUGGGAGGUUGUCACAUUCACUUUAUUUUUACCAGGAUCCAGGAACUAAACCAGCAAAGAGGAAAUGGAGUUCAAUUGAUUUGGGAACAGAAAUUUAUAAAGAUCCAAAUCAAGUGGCAGAGUGGACUGUUAGUGAUUUUGACAUUCUUGUACCUAAGAAAAAGUUGUGAUAAUGUAAAAAAUAGGCAGCCCGGGCGUUGGUGCACUAAGCUCCUGCUAUGGACGAGGUUUGUGGAAGUGCCAGGCGACGUUGGAUUUAAUGUAUGUUCAUUAGUGGCAGCAGUUCAAUUACCUCUCCAACGCGAGAAUCAACAAUGUCAUUUUAAUCUCAAAGCUCUAGCUAUUUCUAAGGUGAAACAGUACAAAUACAUUCGACGUUGCAUUUUGUAUUAGAGAGUGAUGUGUAACAUGAAAGACGAAGGAGUUCAAUGCGUUGAAUGGUAUCCCAAAUGCAUGAACCGACAAUAAAUAAACUGAUAAGCUAGUGAGCCUAUAUUAAAGUGAUUACUGGAGUUAGAUUGUUAAAAUAAAAGGUCAAAGCAUUCAUAACUACUCAAAAGUGAUACGCACAACACUAUAUUAUCAAUGAAGAUCCUAUUGAUCAAUGCAAUUCCACCCAAAUAUCAAUAUAUAUUGUCAAACAUCUUUUCUAUUUCUUUAAAAAGAAAUUGUCAAACAAGUAACUUAUGCAUUCCAGAUUCUAGAGUUGACAUACCAAUAACUGUGGAAGGACGAACUUCGUAGUUAUAU